CCUACGGGAGGCUGCAGUAGGGAAUAUUGCUCAAUGGGGGAAACCCUGAAGCAGCAACGCCGCGUGGAGGAUGAAGGUUCUCGGAUUGUAAACUCCUUUUGUUAGAGAAGAUAAUGACGGUAUCUAACGAAUAAGCACCGGCUAACUCCGUGCCAGCAGCCGCGGUAAUACGGAGGGUGCAAGCGUUACUCGGAAUCACUGGGCGUAAAGCGCGCGUAGGCGGGAUAGCAAGUCAGAUGUGAAAUCCUAUGGCUUAACCAUAGAACUGCAUUUGAAACUGUUAUUCUAGAGUAUGGGAGAGGUAGGUGGAAUUCUUGGUGUAGGGGUAAAAUCCGUAGAGAUCAAGAGGAAUACUCAUUGCGAAGGCGACCUGCUAGAACAUAACUGACGCUGAUGCGCGAAAGCGUGGGGAGCAAACAGGAUUAGAUACCCUAGUAGUC
Molecule: ribosomal RNA, 440 nt
Filed under: uncultured bacterium
Lineage: Bacteria
Description: partial 16S ribosomal RNA
Rfam family: Bacterial small subunit ribosomal RNA
Source: RNAcentral